Molecule: ribosomal RNA, 252 nt
Filed under: uncultured bacterium
Lineage: Bacteria
Description: partial 16S ribosomal RNA
Rfam family: Bacterial small subunit ribosomal RNA
Source: RNAcentral
UACGAAGGGGCUGAGCAGUGCUUCGGAAUUACUGGGCGUAAAGCGCGUGUAGGCUGCUUCGCAAGUCGGAUGUGAAAGCCCUGGGCUCAACCCAGGAAGUGCAUUCGAAACUGCAGAGCUGGAGUCCUGGAGAGGAAGGCGGAAUUCUCGGUGUAGAGGUGAAAUUCGUAGAUAUCGAGAGGAACACCGGUGGCGAAGGCGGCCUUCUGGACAGUGACUGACGUGAGACGCGAAAGCGUGGGGAGCAAACAG